GACGAACGCUGGCGGCGUGCCUAAUACAUGCAAGUAGAACGCUGAAGACUUUAGCUUGCUAAAGUUGGAAGAGUUGCGAACGGGUGAGUAACGCGUAGGUAACCUGCCUACUAGCGGGGGAUAACUAUUGGAAACGAUAGCUAAUACCGCAUAACAGCAUUUAACCCAUGUUAGAUGCUUGAAAGGAGCAAUUGCUUCACUAGUAGAUGGACCUGCGUUGUAUUAGCUAGUUGGUGGGGUAACGGCUCACCAAGGCGACGAUACAUAGCCGACCUGAGAGGGUGAUCGGCCACACUGGGACUGAGACACGGCCCAGACGCCUACGGGAGGCAGCAGUAGGGAAUCUUCGGCAAUGGGGGCAACCCUGACCGAGCAACGCCGCGUGAGUGAAGAAGGUUUUCGGAUCGUAAAGCUCUGUUGUAAGAGAAGAACGUGUGUGAGAGUGGAAAGUUCACACAGUGACGGUAACUUACCAGAAAGGGACGGCUAACUACGUGCCAGCAGCCGCCGUAA
This 513-nucleotide ribosomal RNA is filed under the name uncultured bacterium. RNAcentral describes it as "partial 16S ribosomal RNA". It matches the Rfam family "Bacterial small subunit ribosomal RNA", at positions 28 to 523 of the family's 1533-position model. The record is from RNAcentral.